CAUCUUCUCGGGCGGUAUCUGACGUGUUUACUCCGGUGUUUAGCGGCUUGUGUGGUCGGCGGUCCGGCAGGGUGGCAGCGGCGGCGUCGCGGGGACCCAGCCCGGAUCUGGAGGUGCCGAGCGAAGCCUGGAGGGGGGAGGGGCCCCGGGCUGAGAGGGGAAUCCCCCGCCGGGGUCUUUUGGGCGUGCCCAAGAACUCCAUUGCCCCGUCCCCGCCGUAGGACCAGACUCUUCCUUUCACUGCCCCCUGCAGUCCUCGGACUGUCAAAGUCCCCAAAUCCGGCCUUCAGGGCCCCCAGCCCACAGGGCUCGCGGAUUCCAAGCCCCGCUCCCCGCCACUUCUGUCCCUUCCAGGACACUGUGCGAUGCAGUGGGGGGGCCGCCCUCUCCCUCGAGCCUUACCCACUAAUUCAACCCCUCCAACUUGGGGGCCCUUCCAAGUCCAGGAGGUCGUCCUUGCCUCCCUUCCUUGGAGAAUCUCUCCACCUGUGGAGGCUCUCAC
This 502-nucleotide long non-coding RNA is filed under the name Equus asinus (donkey). RNAcentral describes it as "lncRNA (ENSEASG00005026296.1)". Lineage: Eukaryota; Metazoa; Chordata; Mammalia; Perissodactyla; Equidae. The record is from RNAcentral.